Molecule: long non-coding RNA, 1922 nt
Filed under: Triticum aestivum (bread wheat)
Lineage: Eukaryota; Viridiplantae; Streptophyta; Magnoliopsida; Poales; Poaceae
Description: long non-coding RNA (TAES_LNC024490)
Source: RNAcentral
GACGUCUUCGACCUGCAGGGCGCACCACAAUAAGCAAUUGAGCAUGCAUUAAUGCAAAUAGGUGGAGGCAGAGCACCCCGGUUGCAGUGUGAGAUUUGCGGGUACUGACCAUCUAGCCGUGGGUGGCGAGGGAAACAUUGGGGUUGGGCCGAAAUGAUGCGGCACGCCAUCGAGGUCUGUGCCGCACACGGUCUGUCAUCCUUGUAAACGUUUCUAUUAAGUAAGCAUUUCACACAUAAUAUCAGCAUUUCUCUUAAGUCAUGAAAUGACAUUUCACAUUUCACCUCAUAAUAUCAGCUAAUUAGAAGAUUAAGUAAAUGAGCAUUGCACCUCAUAAUAUCAGCAUUUCUCUCAAGUCCUGAAAUAAAAUGAAAUGGCAUUUCACGUGUAUUCAAGUAGCUCUUCACACUUCACCUAUUCACACAGAUAUAAUGAAUUAGUGGAGUUGGACAUAUUUCCCGAUCUACAGAGCUUAAUAAUGUGUGCAUCACAGUUAGUUUUUCACCUCGCAAAUAUAUGACUAUAUGAGAAUACACACCUUGGAAAAUAUUUCCAAAAAUAAGAACUGCCGUCGGGAUGUCUUCGACCUACAGGGCGCACCACAAUAAGCAAUUGAGCAUGCAUUAAUGCAAAUAGGUGGAGGCAGAGCACCCCGGUGGCAGUGUGAGAUUUGUGGGUACUUACCAUCUGGCCGUGGGUGGCGAGGGAAACAUUGGGGUUGGGCCGAAAUGAUGCGGCACGCCAUCGAGGUCUGUGCCGCACACGGUCUGUCAUCCUUGUAAACGUUUCUAUUAAGUAAGUGAGCAUUUCACACAUAAUAUCAGCAUUUCUCUUAAGUCGUGAAAUGACAUUUCACAUUUCACCUCAUAAUAUCAGCUAAUUAGAAGAUUAAGUAAAUGAGCAUUGCACCUCAUAGUAUCAGCAUUUCUCUCAAGUCCUGAAAUAAAAUGAAAUGGCAUUUCACGUGUAUUCAAGUAGCUCUUCACACUUCACCUGUUCACACAGAUAUAAUGAAUUAGUGGAGUUGGACAUAUUUCCCUAUCUACAGAGCUUAAUAAUGUGUGCAUCACAGUUAGUUUUGCACCUCGCAAAUAUAUGACUAUAUGAGAAUACACACCUUGGAAAAUAUUUCCAAAAAUAAGAACUGCUAACAAAAGGCUAUCUGUUUUUUCUUAAGAAAUAGUUUCUUAAGUUUCUGCAGUAUUGUCUGGGUAAACAGAUACCGCAUAAGCACUUCCCCAAAUGCACGGGGUAAGCACAGUCAAGAGUUUUGCCAAAAUGUCUUCAUGAAGAACACGUUUAAUUUCAAAUAUCCACAAGAAUCUAUUGGAGGCAUAGCCAUGUAUGGUGUGACAGUAAGGAACAUCUACAACUCAAUUAGUUCUUGAAAUAAAAUUAGGCAGCGGUUCUGAAGACUGGCAGUUCAUUCAAAAAAUUCAGCCACCUCAGGAGUAUAAAGGUAACAGAUGACGACUAUCCAAAAGGCCAUGUAACACAAGAAAGGGGUCUACCGCACGCACAUAUACUACUUUGGCAAACAAAGAAAAACCGUGUGAUCUAUCCAGGAACAAAAAGCCUAAUGUAUUGAUUUGGCAAACAAAGAAAGGGGUCUAGCGCACGCACAUAUACUUAUGUAAUGAUUUUGAUCCUGGCCUUUGCGAUAUCAUUUUUUUGCUCAAAAAGACUGUCUAGCUCCAACUAUGGCUCGAACCACUAUUUUCAGAAAAAGAAUACCAACUUAGUCUUUGGAAAAACAGUAUAACGAGUUAACAACACAGCAAAAUAUAAAUAUUUACCAUCAAAGACUUAGGACUGAAUUUGCUGUUGGGGGGUCUGCAACUCGUAGAAUAUGCAUCAUCAGCAUUCUCCUUAACAACUCGGUAUUGAAACUGUACAGAUCAGCAGAGCAAACACAUUAUCCU